CAGGCUUGCGUGAGCAACAUGUCUUUCCUUCGGUGGCUCUUCUUUGAAGGUGUCGUCGGAGGGUCGCGUGCUUGCUCGUCUUGCUUUGGGACGACGCAUGAGUGGCUCUUUGGACACGAUCCCAGUGCAGGCUCCGUGUUUCUUGCAUCGAACUGCCCUGUUUGUCCGUUUCAUUAGUCGGUUUGCCUCGGCUCAUUCAGGGUCGGCUGCGGCUGCGCGGUGGGUUCUUGUGCUCGAUAUCCGGUUUCGGCAACGGGAUGUAUUCUCUUCCCGGUCUUUGUUCCCUAUAUCCACCGUCGUCCCUUGGGAAUCGGUUGGAUGUUAUUCGGGCAUCCUACGUUGUUCAUCGGGAGAGUCGACCCCCUACGGGCGCUUUUUCUCGUGAUGGCUCGUAGGUGCUGCGUGGCAUGCUCUCGGGUACGGUGACGCCACUGGUUAUCGUAUCGGUCCUCGUCGGCCGCCGUCAUCUCGACUCGUCGAAGCGUUAAUGCUUCUGCUCGCGUGACUCUCGUUCUUGCCUGAGGGAUCACGGGGCCUUUCGGUUUCGUGAUCUUCUCGGGGAGGCAUCGAUGUCAACCGAGGAAUGC
This 587-nucleotide unclassified non-coding RNA is filed under the name Acisanthera bivalvis. RNAcentral describes it as "partial external transcribed spacer". Lineage: Eukaryota; Viridiplantae; Streptophyta; Magnoliopsida; Myrtales; Melastomataceae. The record is from RNAcentral.